This 476-nucleotide ribosomal RNA is filed under the name uncultured bacterium. Its description in RNAcentral is "bacterial SSU rRNA". It matches the Rfam family "Bacterial small subunit ribosomal RNA", at positions 35 to 507 of the family's 1533-position model. The record is from RNAcentral.
GACGAACGGCUGGCGGCGUGCCUAACACAUGCAAGUCGAGCGGAGUAUAGAUGGAGAUUUAUCUUUAUUUAUACUUAGCGGCGAACGGGUGAGUAACGCGUGGGUAACCUACCUCAUACAGGGGGAUAACACUGGGAAACUAGUGCUAAUACCGCAUAAAAUUACGACAGGGCAUCCUGAAGUAAUCAAAGGAGAAAUCCGGUGUGAGAUGGGCCCGCGUCCGAUUAGCUAGUUGGUAGGGUAAAGGCCUACCAAGGCGACGAUCGGUAGCCGAACUGAGAGGUUGAUCGGCCACAUUGGGACUGAGACACGGCCCAGACUCCUACGGGAGGCAGCAGUGGGGAAUAUUGCGCAAUGGGGGGAACCCUGACGCAGCAACGCCGCGUGAAGGAAGAAGGCCUUCGGGUUGUAAACUUCUUUGAUGAGGGACGAAGGAAGUGACGGUACCUCAAAAACAAGCCACGGCUAACUACGUG